CCAUAAAAACGCAAAGUGUCAAACGAAAAUCCCAAGCCCAAAUUUCGGUGCGUUUUUAAUUUAAUUCGCUGCGUUAUCGGGCUCAAAAAUCCCGCAGAAAUAUACGUAAAAUCAGUGCUAGACACGGGAAAAUAUUCAGUGAGACGUGGUGCCUCCGAGUGCUCGUUUUAUUUGGUUUUCCUUUUUUUUGCGGUGCGCUUUUUUUCAGCGGGGUUGUUGUGUUUCGACCCCCCGUGGAACGGUGAAUCGUGGAAAAAGGCAUGUGAAUAAGUAACUAACUGGGUCGUGCUAUUCUUUGGUGGAUAAUUUUGUAUCCGUACAAAACGGCAGAAAGAAGAAUCAGCAAAAUUAGAUCUUGGCGCGAGAACUGUUAACCCUUGAUAACAAGGCGGAGGGUGCCCUAUCGAGGAGUUUUUUUUUCUCCUCGCGUUUGUGUGCGUGAAACAGCGCGUCACUGCUCGACGGAGUCGCUUGGAAACGGUAUCGAGCGCUUGGGCAAAGGCAGCCAGCGAAACAUUCCGCCAAGCCACCGCAAGCGGCCAACUCUUCAUAAACAAAGUGCGUCACUCGUUUGCAAAUAUCCCCUGCAACCCUCUCUCCCCGUUCGGUCCCGUGAAGGUGAGUACGGAUGGGCACACCCGCGAAUCGGACGCUGACCAAGGGCCGGGUCUUCAGCAGCAGCAGCAGCAGCAGUAGCAGCCGGGAGCUAGCCCAAGCGACGCGGUCCGAGAUGCCACGGCUGAAAAAGCCUUCCGAGAGUAUGGGGUCCGCAUCGAAGCAAGCCCAGGAGACGCUUACGUCCGGGCGGGCGCGUCGAACGAUCAAACCGAACCCAAAGUACGUGAACGAUGAGAUGAUAGCGGCCCAGGCGAAGGAAGCGUUCGAAGAAAGUGGAAUGAGCGACGAAGAGUACGACGAGCUGAACGAGGAAGAGGAACAACGCUCUCCACCAUCGACCCCACGUUCCGAAGGGCCCAAGCGCCGUGGUAGACCACCGAAGGCAAAGGGUCUGAUCGCUGCCCCACGUACGGAACCGGCCAAGAGCAAUCUGCGCAAGGAGCUGUUGAAACGUACCGACCUCCGGUCAUUUGGUAUAAGUCAAACACGCCAACACAGUUCACCGCAGCUACGGGACACGGCCCGCCGACUGGACAUGACGGAUUCGAUCGAUACAGAUUCAGCCGAUCAGGAUGAUUUGGGAAUGGAAGGCCUGGAGGAGAGCACUGGCCGCAAAGUGCUCAAUUCCGGUGCCGGUGGCAGCUUGAGGACGUUGCGAAGCACGGCCGAUGGUACGACCGAGGAUGACGAAGGGGAGGACGAUGAGGAUAUGCUGAACGAGGGCGACCAGCAACAGGGCACGGGGGCCGCCGGGAAGCGUCCAGUCGGUCGUCCACGCAAGAACCCGCUCGUCAAGAAGCAAGUGUCCCCCUUUGCCGCCAAAGUGCUGCUACCGGGCGUGAAGCAAACGUUGGGCGGUGGUGUGACCGUAAUGAAACGGAAAGCACCACCACCGACCGAUUCCGAGGACGACGGCAGUAAGCAAGGGUCCAAGAUGGUGCGCCGUUCGUACCAGAAGGGGGGUAGUACGGUGACGAAGGAAGUGGAAACGGAUACCGACGAUGAUGGCGAAAGGGAAGACGAUGAUAGCCAGCGGCAGCGAGCCCGUUCCUAUCCGACACUGGCUCGUCGCCCGGGAUCCAACACGCAACAGGGUGCAGGGAAGGUGUCGGAAUCGAAGGAAAACUCUCCAUCACAGAUGAUCACGAUCGUGAACGUGCACGAUAUCAUGAAGAAGAAAUCGAAGAGCACGGCCGAUGUGCGUCAGCGGAAGGUUCAGGAGGACGAAGAUUCGGAAGACGAUCGGUCCGAGUUGGAGGAAGCGGGCGAUGAUCAGCGGAACGAGGGCAAAACGAACAACAAACUGGUGGCCAGCAUCCUGGAGCGUAAACGGGCGAUUCCAGUGCAAGCGGAAAUGACGCCCGGCCGGACACCGAGGGAACGGCACGUAGCGCUGAUGAAGAAGCGCGCCGAGGACAUCCGGCAAAACCAAAGCAACAGCGGUGCCAGCGAGGUCGAUGUGGAGGAUGUGCUGCAGAAAAACAUCGUCACGGCCGGGGGCGCGAACAAGACGGUCGUACGGAUGCAAUCGGUAACGUCACCGGGCGGACGGCCCCGAGGUCGUCCACCAAACUCGGCCAAAGCCAAGGAGAACUUUGGCAAGGAUGGUGAUGGUGGUGCAGCGUUGGAUGGAGACACCGGUGGCGCAGGCCACAAAACGAACAACGUUCUGUACAAACUCGGUCCGAACGGUCGGUAUACGAUGGCCAGCGGUGGUGGAGGAACGCCACUGAAGCGUAGCAAUCAGCCACCACGCAUACUGAACGCCACGAUGAAGCUGGGUCAGGAUCGACCACAGUCGAAGCUUUCGGCCACCGCCACCAACAACCACUAUUCGAUCGAUCUCACCGAUCCGGACAACAAUGUGCUGUUGGUUUCGUCGAACGAAAAUUCGCCCACCAAGCGUCCCAUUGGCUCGCCCUCUGUCACCUCCGGUGGUAAGGCCAUUCUGGGAAGGUCAACGCCGGGUGCGGCAGCUGCAACAAUCCCAUCGGCUACGGCGGCUUCUGCAUCAUCCGCUCGGCUACCGCAACGACUUCCACAAUCACAAACCACACAGCAACAGACGGCGAUGGGGCAACAAAAGCUAACGGCCGCUGGACGUGCGGUGGAUGUUAGGAAAAAGCGUAUCACGUGUUACGAAACGUGGAACGUCAUUAACUGCAAGAACCUGUUAACAGUGCCCAAGAAACCCACCAUGAGCAUGUCGAUGAUCGCGCUAGGGAAUGUGGCGGACUCGAUUCGUCUACCGUCCGACGUGUGGUCGCUACGGACGGUGCUGGAGAAGCGCAAGACGGUGGUAAAGCCGGGUGAGGAAACGUUCUGCGGUGCCACCCAGGAUAAUGUCGUCCCGGAGGACGAGAAGCACAACUACGAACCGACCCGGAUCAUGUUCCGCCGCAAGGCUUCGGUUCCCGGGCGGUUCAAUGUGCAGUACGAUCGGACAGUUAUCUUCCGGAACGAUACGUACGUGAUCAACGUAGAGGGCCACAGUUGCCGGUUGGUGGGUGCUCCGGUGACGAUCGCGACCCCAGCCGAAAUCGAAACACUGCUGACGAUCGUCGAUUUUAUCAACACGGACAACAGUUGCGUGGAGAUGCAAGGGCGCCCGAUCAGUACAGUGGAUUUGACCGGGUCCAAGCGGGCGACCGAAGUCGCCACCUAAUUUUCCUCCCUCCCAGAUCACACGACACACGAAACACAGCGUAGCCGCCAAGGGUGCCGUUUACUUUGAGUUGUAAAAUGUAAUAUCAGAAACCAUGCGCCGAACUUUGUUCGUGUCUUGUUCGCCUGUGCUCUGCUGUGUUGAGUGUUUUAGUUUUAUGUUAUAAAUUCUUCCCGCAAUUCAUCUGCAUUGUUUAGUAGAAAAACAAAAGGAUGGAUGGAGCAUUAGGGGGUGCAGAAGGUAGUAGUAAUAAGUCCGAUUUCUUAAAAAAAAUAUUCUCCAACCCGUUACAAAAGCGCACGUUAGAUUAAAACUUUGUUUGCACGAGGAAUAGAACGUUAAAGGAACCGAAUGAAAUGGAAAUCUUGUUGAACCAGGCGCGCCCUAGGUACAAAGGACUCAUUGUACAUUGUCGUGCGACCCGAAAUCCAACAUACAAUAGGCUACAUUCAAUAGAUGAUUUGUGUUAAGGGGACACUUUAUUGCUGCUGCAUUCUUUGAAAAUUGAAAUAAUUGUAAUAAAAUGCUACUGAAAACCACUGA
Anopheles aquasalis is the source of this 3826-nucleotide RNA transcript. RefSeq lists it as uncharacterized. The record is from RefSeq and is a predicted model, not a curated record. NCBI's taxonomy places the organism in Eukaryota, Metazoa, Arthropoda, Insecta, Diptera, Culicidae.